Molecule: ribosomal RNA, 468 nt
Filed under: uncultured bacterium
Lineage: Bacteria
Description: partial 16S ribosomal RNA
Rfam family: Bacterial small subunit ribosomal RNA
Source: RNAcentral
GAUGAACGCUGGCGGCGUGCUUAACACAUGCAAGUCGAACGGAAAGGCCCUGCUUUUGUGGGGUGCUCGAGUGGCGAACGGGUGAGUAACACGUGAGUAACAUGCCCUUGACUUUGGGAUAACUUCAGGAAACUGGGGCUAAUACCGGAUAGGAGCUCCUGCUGCACGGUGGGGGUUGGAAAGAUUCGGCGGUUCGGGAUGGAAUAGCGGCUUACCAGCUUGUUGGUGGGGUAGUGGCUUACCAAGGCUUUGAAGGGUAGCCGGCCUGAGCGGGUGACCAGCCACAUUGGUACUGCGGUACGGCCCAGACUCCUACGUGCGGCAGCAGUCGGGAAUAUUGCACAAUGGGCGGAAGCCUGAUGCAGCAACGCCGCGUGCGUGAUGACGGCCUUCGGGUGGUAAACCGCUUUCUCCUGUGACGAGGCGUGAUUGACGGUAAUGGGUAAAGAAGCACCGGCUAACUACGUG